UGGGGAAUAUUGCACAAUGGGGGAAACCCUGAUGCAGCGACGCCGCGUGGAGGAAGAAGGUCUUCGGAUUGUAAACUCCUGUUGUUGAGGAAGAUAAUGACGGUACUCNACNAGGAAGUGACGGCUAACUACGUGCCAGCAGCCGCGGUAAAACGUAGGUCNCAAGCGUUGUCCGGAAUUACUGGGUGUAAAGGGAGCGCAGGCGGGANNACAAGUUGGAAGUGAAAUCCAUGGGCUCAACCCAUGAACUGCUUUCAAAACUGUUUUUCUUGAGUAGUGCAGAGGUAGGCGGAAUUCCCGGUGUAGCGGUGGAAUGCGUAGAUAUCGGGAGGAACACCAGUGGCGAAGGCGGCCUACUGGGCACCAACUGACGCUGAGGCUCGAAAGUGUGGGUAGCAAACAGGAUUAGAUACCCUGGUAGUCCACACCGUAAACGAUGAUUACUAGGUGUUGGAGGAUUGACCCCUUCAGUGCCGCAGUUAACACAAUAAGUAAUCCACCUGGGGAGUACGACCGCNAGGUUGAAACUCAAAGGAAUUGACGG
This 544-nucleotide ribosomal RNA is filed under the name uncultured bacterium. RNAcentral describes it as "bacterial SSU rRNA". It matches the Rfam family "Bacterial small subunit ribosomal RNA", at positions 355 to 916 of the family's 1533-position model. The record is from RNAcentral.